This 193-nucleotide unclassified non-coding RNA is filed under the name plant metagenome. RNAcentral describes it as "partial contains small subunit ribosomal RNA, internal transcribed spacer 1, and 5.8S ribosomal RNA". The record is from RNAcentral.
UCUCCGUUGGUGAACCAGCGGAGGGAUCAUUAUAGGACUCGCAAGACUCCUUACACCCUGUGAACCUUACUGUAUACGCGUUGCUUCGGCGGGUCCGCCCGCCGGCAGCAUACCACAUUCUGUUUCUCUGCGUUGGCAUCUCGAGAAAAAAGCAAAUAAGUUAAAACUUUCAACAACGGAUCUCUUGGUUCUG